This 1341-nucleotide ribosomal RNA is filed under the name uncultured bacterium. RNAcentral's name for it is "16S ribosomal RNA". It matches the Rfam family "Bacterial small subunit ribosomal RNA", at positions 28 to 1381 of the family's 1533-position model. The record is from RNAcentral.
GACGAACGCUGGCGGCGUGCUUAACACAUGCAAGUCGAACGGUAAGGCUCCAGCUUGCUGGGGUACACGAGUGGCGAACGGGUGAGUAACACGUGGGUGACCUGCCCUGCACUUCGGGAUAAGCCUGGGAAACUGGGUCUAAUACCGGAUGGGACCGCACCGUGAGGGUGUGGUGGAAAGUUUUUUCGGUGUGGGAUGGGCCCGCGGCCUAUCAGCUUGUUGGUGGGGUAAUGGCCUACCAAGGCGGCGACGGGUAGCCGGCCUGAGAGGGUGGACGGCCACAUUGGGACUGAGACACGGCCCAGACUCCUACGGGAGGCAGCAGUGGGGAAUAUUGCACAAUGGGCGGAAGCCUGAUGCAGCGACGCCGCGUGGGGGAUGACGGCCUUCGGGUUGUAAACUCCUUUCACCAUCGACGAAGGGUUUCUGACGGUAGAUGGAGAAGAAGCACCGGCUAACUACGUGCCAGCAGCCGCGGUAAUACGUAGGGUGCGAGCGUUGUCCGGAAUUACUGGGCGUAAAGAGCUCGUAGGUGGUUUGUCGCGUCGUCUGUGAAAUUCCGGGGCUUAACUCCGGGCGUGCAGGCGAUACGGGCAUAACUUGAGUACUGUAGGGGAGACUGGAAUUCCUGGUGUAGCGGUGAAAUGCGCAGAUAUCAGGAGGGACACCGGUGGCGAAGGCGGGUCUCUGGGCAGUAACUGACGCUGAGGAGCGAAAGCAUGGGGAGCGAACAGGAUUAGAUACCCUGGUAGUCCAUGCCGUAAACGGUGGGCGCUAGGUGUGGGUUUCCUUCCACGGGAUCCGUGCCGUAGCUAACGCAUUAAGCGCCCCGCCUGGGGAGUACGGCCGCAAGGCUAAAACUCAAAGGAAUUGACGGGGGCCCGCACAAGCGGCGGAGCAUGUGGAUUAAUUCGAUGCAACGCGAAGAACCUUACCUGGGCUUGACAUAUACAGGAUCGCGCCAGAGAUGGUGUUUCCCUUGUGGCUUGUAUACAGGUGGUGCAUGGUUGUCGUCAGCUCGUGUCGUGAGAUGUUGGGUUAAGUCCCGCAACGAGCGCAACCCUUGUCUUAUGUUGCCAGCACGUUGUGGUGGGGACUCGUAAGAAACUGCCGGGGUUAACUCGGAGGAAGGUGGGGAUGACGUCAAAUCAUCAUGCCCCUUAUGUCCAGGGCUUCACACAUGCUACAAUGGUCGGUACAGUGGGUUGCCAGUCCGUGAGGGCGAGCUAAUCCCGCAAAGCCGGUCUCAGUUCGGAUCGGGGUCUGCAACUCGACCCCGUGAAGUCGGAGUCGCUAGUAAUCGCAGAUCAGCAACGCUGCGGUGAAUACGUUCCCGGGCCU